Molecule: small RNA, 838 nt
Filed under: Pongo abelii (Sumatran orangutan)
Lineage: Eukaryota; Metazoa; Chordata; Mammalia; Primates; Hominidae
Description: processed transcript
Source: RNAcentral
CCUGCAGCUGCCCCACACAGAGGCCUUGCUGGUGCUGUGCUAUUCGAUUGUGGAGAAUACCUGCAUCAUAACCCCCACGGCCAAGGCCUGGAAGUACAUGGAGGAGGAGAUCCUUGGUUUCGGGAAGUCGGUCUGUGACAGCCUUGGGCGGCGACACAUGUCUACCUGUGCCCUCUGUGACUUCUGCUCCCUGAAGCUGGAGCAGUGCCACUCAGAGGGCAGCCUGCAGCGGCAACAAUGCGACACCUCCCACAAGACUCCCUUUGUCAGCCCCUUGCUUGCCUCCCAGAGCCUGUCCAUCGGCAACCAGGUAGGGUCCCCAGAAUCAGGCCACUUUUACGGGCUGGAUUUGUACGGUGGGCUCCGCAUGGACUUCUGGUGCGCCCGGCUUGCCACGAAGGGCUGUGAAGAUGUUCGAGUCUCUGGGUGGCUCCAGACGGAGUUCCUUAGCUUCCAGGAUGGGGAUUUCCCCACCAAGAUUUGUGACACAGACUAUAUCCAGUACCCAAACUACUGUUCCUUCAAAAGCCAGCAGUGUCUGAUGAGAAACCGCAAUCGGAAGUCCUGGAGGAAGCAAGGCCCUCCUAGGCAGGUGGUGGGUAACAGAGGAGGGCCCUGAGAGCACCACAGGAAGAACCCUUGGCUGGGCUGGGACUUGGAUGUUGAGGUCUCGGUCUGUCUCCUCUUCUUACUCACCAAGUAGCCUGGGAUGAGGCACUUCCCCCUCUGAGCCUCAGCCGCCUGUUUCUGCAUGAAAGGGGUUGGGCUGCUUGAUGUCUCCUCUGGCUUUAAAAACCCACAUUUGAGUUUCCUCCUUCCCUCUACUGCCAUGUGCCCA